UACGGAGGAUGCGAGCGUUAUCCGGAUUUAUUGGGUUUAAAGGGUGCGUAGGCGGAUUUUUAAGUCAGCGGUAAAAUGUCCGGGCUCAACCCGGGCCGGCCGUUGAAACUGGCAGUCUCGAGUUGGAGAGAAGUAUGCGGAAUGCGCGGUGUAGCGGUGAAAUGCAUAGAUAUUACACAGAACACCGAUUGCGAAGGCAGCUUGCUAGGCCGGAUCUGACACUGAUGCACGAAAGCGUGGGGAGCGAACAGG
This 252-nucleotide ribosomal RNA is filed under the name uncultured Bacteroidales bacterium. Its description in RNAcentral is "partial 16S ribosomal RNA". It matches the Rfam family "Bacterial small subunit ribosomal RNA", at positions 524 to 776 of the family's 1533-position model. The record is from RNAcentral. Lineage: Bacteria; Pseudomonadati; Bacteroidota; Bacteroidia; Bacteroidales.